Molecule: long non-coding RNA, 1032 nt
Organism: Astatotilapia calliptera (eastern happy)
Lineage: Eukaryota; Metazoa; Chordata; Actinopteri; Cichliformes; Cichlidae
Source: Ensembl
GGACUACGUGCAUGUUUUUAUCAUUCAGGCAUCUUGGCCAGUGCAGACUAGCGCUGCUGAUAUGAAACAGCAGCAGGAAGCUAACAAGAUUGCUGAAAGUGAAACGGUGCAAGAAUUAAAAGAUGCACUCCAUUUUGCCACUCAGGAGUUGAAGACUGCAAAGGAGGAAAAUGCAUCUUUGAAGGAGAAGAUUGCCGUUCUUGAAGAUGCUCACAAAAUGCAAGUGAGUAGCCUCCAAGAAGAGCUCAAACUCAAGGAUGAGGCGCUUCAAAGAUGUGUGAAGAAAAGAAGAGCUCGAACCAAAGCCUGGGUAGAACUCCUCCAUGAAUCGACCAUAAAAGACAUGGAGAUAAACACCAGGGAACAACACUGGAGCAGCAAGUGGCAAUCAACCGAGAAGAGCCUGAAAGAGGAGAAGAAGAAAGUGGAGGAGCUCCAAAUUAAGAACAAGCUUCUGAUGGAGAACUUACAAGAAAAUCUGGACAAAUGGAAGAACGUCCUUCAGGAGCUUGCACCCGACGCUGACCACCAGGAAGAAACCCUGGAAACAAAUUCCCAAGAGGAAAAACUGGAAAACCACGAGGGAGAAGAGGAGGGAACGGACAAACCAAGAAAGGACAAGAAAAAGCAGGAAGAAGAGGAGGAAAAGCAGGAGACAAAAGAGGACAUCGAAGAAAACCUUGAGGGAAAAAGUGACGAGAAGAUGGAAGAUAAAAGAGCAACUGAAGAUCUAAACCCAAACCUCUGCCUGGUUACCAUCCCUCUCACUCCCUCCGACUCUUGCCCUUUACCCCCUGUCCUUAUGCCCCAACUCAACCAGUCUACCUCCUCCCUACCUUACCCACCCUCUCGUGCUUUUUCCUACUCUUCACCCAGCUCUUAUUCUUUACGCAACACCCUCAGUCUCCACACCUUCCCCCAAUCCUCCUCCCAACCUUACUCGGUCUCUCGUGCUCCCUCCUACUAUUUACCCUUGUUUUCCAAACCUGUGCAGCUUUUUUGUUCAUUUUAAAAUAAACGUGUGAAAUUUCA